RNAcentral lists this long non-coding RNA (253 nucleotides) under Bos taurus (domestic cattle). RNAcentral describes it as "long non-coding RNA NONBTAT015677". Lineage: Eukaryota; Metazoa; Chordata; Mammalia; Artiodactyla; Bovidae. The record is from RNAcentral.
AUGAGCACGAUUUAAAAAAACAAACAAAAAAAAGCACUCAAAACAAACAUCCAAAAAAAAAAACCCUGGCCAAUCCCUGGCCCCAGUUCUCUUCUUGUUUGUUUGUAUUUUUCAACCUGGAGACAUUGCAGAGUAUGUAAUGCUGGAACACCACAUCUUUGAAAAAUGGUCCAGAGACCAAAUUUACAGGGUUUGAACCAUAUCCUCUUGAUAUGUAAAGUCAAGUCCUUGCCAACAUUGGAGUUCCCAUGAA